GGAUAGGCUCCAGCCAGUGACAAGCACUUAAAGGGUUAUGUCCCUCUGAUAAAAGACACUUUCAUGGUGAUCUGUAAUAUGUUUUGCAUUUACGCCAAAAACAUCACUUGUCUUGCAAACUUCUCGAAUAUUAAAUACAUUACAAGAUAACUGGCAGCGGACGGAAACAGCUCUUCCGCAGCGCACACGUGCAUCUGGCCUCACCCCAUCUUCUUCGUCUUCUGUUAAGUUUUAUGGAAGUUGUCGUCCACAAGUGUUGCUUUACUGCCAUCUGCUGGCCUCACCCUUGCACCAUUUAUUCCGCUACGCCAUGGCAAUACGGAAAUGUUCCUGAAUGUAGUGCAUGUGUUAAUGGUGAAGAUUACUAGUGGUGCUUCAGGGUUUUAACAGAAGCAGAUGAGAUCAUAGUUAAUCAUACUGAAUUCAUAUUGAGUUGUUCAGCAAAAAGUUUAUCGAAAGGGUCGACGUUUUUCUAUUUUAAUUGAUUUUCAGUUUUUCUAGAAAAUAGAUUUUACACGACUCAGAAUUUUCCAGUUCAGUAUUAAAGUAAAUGAUAAGUAGCAUCCUAAAACAUCUUUCCCAAAGGAACAAAGCCCUGAUAUUAAGAUGCCUCUCCCAAGCCCUUUUCCUAUUAUUUCUCAAUUUGUCAUCAUUUAUUGAUGAGCCAUCAGCAGAGAGAGAGAGACGCAGCGUGAUUUAGCACUGUGGAAUGGUAAAGCACAGCGCUGGUUUCAGCGGGUUCGUCUGAGAUCUUUAGAUGUGGCUCUGGCUUCAAUUACACAUAGCAACCAGAUAUUCCCAGGAUAAGAGCAGAACACAGAUUUGUGCCAGGACAGAUUCUCUGUCCCAUCUACUGUCACGUCUGUCUUGGAAAGCCAUGAGGAGGGCCAUAGGUCAUUUCUGAUCAUUUGACAGUUUAAGGCAGCAGCAGCUUACAGAUAAUUGACCUUGAGGGGUCAGCGAAGCGGUGUGGGAGAGAAUGCAAUGUCUAAGAUAAAGACCAGGGAAAAAAAUACAGCUGGAUUGACUCUGCUAUGAUAUAUUUGAAAAUGGAUCUGAAAUUUGAUAAGUAGUAACCUGCAGCGUUCCGCUGACUGAGGCUGUCAUAUUUCACUGCUGUUCUCUUAUAUCAUGAUUUACAUCCCAGUCAAAAUGAUCCUGAUGGCCCACAGAGAUAAAUGUUGUGGCCUGCUGGAAAUAUGUCCUAAUGUGUACCAUGGUGUCCAACUCCCAGUUUUCUUACCCUCUUGCUGUCUCUCUUUCACUCUCUUACACCUCUCUCACACAGUCAUCUGUCUCCAUUCGACGUUACACUGCACAAAGAAGCACUUGUCCUGCGCGCUACACUACUCAUUUGUCAGUUGUGCAACAGCGGACAAUCCAACACUUAAUAACCCGGUGGCACGGCGCUGACCUUAAAGAUGCCUGUUGAUUUAAGUGAUGGUGACAUGUGGAAUCCUCCUAUGUACAUGUUGCACUGUGGGUGAAGGAUGUAUUUUCUGAUGUAACAGGAAAUCCUGAAUCGGUCCUAAUCCCUAAUUUAAUCCUGUAUUUACUUAUGCACAGCUCUUUCCUUUUAUCAAAACGUGCCUUCUUUUACAGCCAAAACCGAACUGGAAACACAAGAGAAGCAGCUGGCAGACACUCAGAAGAUCUUCUUGGAGUUGUGCGUGUCCUUCUCAGUUAAACCCAAGGCAGGAGAGAAAGAAGUCUCUCCCAACACUUUCUUCUCCAUUUGGCACGAGUUUUCCUCUGAUUUUAAAGAUCAAUGGAAAAAGCAGAAUAAGCUGAUGUUACAGGAGAGGGUCAAAAUGGCUGAAGAGUGCUUCAAACAGGCCAAGGAGAAGGCUUCCUACAACGUGAAACCCAAACAUGCAACUGGAAUAAAAGCAAAGCUGGGUCAGAAGAUCUGAAGCACAGAACGGAAAAUUAUCAUCACCCAGCCUACUGCACAAGCACUGUUUGUACAAUCUAACGUGACUCAUCAGUCACUUUUACAACAUGUAUUUUGCUUCCGGUAUUUGUUUUCAGUUGAUUUAGACCUGUUGUUUAUUGAGAGUUGGUUCAAAGUGGAUAUUAUAUUGUUUAAAAGUGGACUGAAUAAUGACAUUCUCAGCCACCCUUUCAUAGUGCUCGCAUAAUUAAAUGAAAUACUACUACCAAAAGACAUCCGUGGGCUGGGAUGAUUAAAUGCGGUUGAGUCAUUUACUAGAAAAUGCCAGAAAAUGCUCUGUGGAGUCUGAAAUUUGUAAUAACAAUAUAUCCAAGCUUUUUUCAGAGUUUUAUAAGCCAUAUGAAGCCUAUUUUCUUUUUUAGUACAAUUCCCAAGCCUAGUUUACUUGGAAGGCACGAGCACUUCCUCUUUAUAUCUCCCUUAAUGGUGAAAAGCAAAGAAUUUUAUAACAUUUCUACACGGUAGUUAUGAAUCACCUGCCAGACAGGAAGUGCCUUAUCGCACAGUGGAGGGGUCAAGUCAGUGCUGCAGAGCAGAGCUGACUUUUGAGACAUAUCAUCUGUAAUUAUGUUACAUAGAAAUCUGUUUUACAUAGCCGGAAACAUGACAGAUGUUCCUUUUUUUAAUAGUUUCAUCAAGUUUGUUUCAGAGUGUAGUGAUAAUUAUACAUAUGUUUCACAUCUCUGUUGUGGUUUAGUUUGUCUGUUCAUUAAAAAAAAACACGCAUACCUUAGCGGUGUCAUCUGCUACAGACCGACUAUUGUUUAUUCAGCAUCAUCAACAUGCUUUGUUUCAAGCAAAAUCCUAUGCAGUUAGUUUUGCCUUUCCUACAUGUGUGUGUACGAACUACCAUAAUGCAAAUGGAGCAAUAGGACCAUGUGACGUGACGUUCAUGUGCAAUACCAACAAUGUGUUUUGACUGAAUACCCUUGACCAUGAAAAAAUAUAUUUAUUGAGUAAAAGAAAUGACAAAUUUUUAAUAAAAAAUCUGCUGUUGCUGA
Molecule: non-coding RNA, 2955 nt
Organism: Epinephelus lanceolatus (giant grouper)
Lineage: Eukaryota; Metazoa; Chordata; Actinopteri; Perciformes; Serranidae
Source: RefSeq, a predicted model, not a curated record